GACGAACGCUGGCGGCGUGCCUAAUACAUGCAAGUAGAACGCUGAAGAGAGGAGCUUGCUCUUCUUGGAUGAGUUGCGAACGGGUGAGUAACGCGUAGGUAACCUGCCUUGUAGCGGGGGAUAACUAUUGGAAACGAUAGCUAAUACCGCAUAACAAUGGAUGACACAUGUCAUUUAUUUGAAAGGGGCAAUUGCUCCACUACAAGAUGGACCUGCGUUGUAUUAGCUAGUAGGUGAGGUAACGGCUCACCUAGGCGACGAUACAUAGCCGACCUGAGAGGGUGAUCGGCCACACUGGGACUGAGACACGGCCCAGACUCCUACGGGAGGCAGCAGUAGGGAAUCUUCGGCAAUGGGGGCAACCCUGACCGAGCAACGCCGCGUGAGUGAAGAAGGUUUUCGGAUCGUAAAGCUCUGUUGUAAGUCAAGAACGAGUGUGAGAGUGGAAAGUUCACACUGUGACGGUAGCUUACCAGAAAGGGACGGCUGACUACGUGCCAGCGGCCGCGGUAAUACGUAGGUCCCGAGCGUUGUCCGGAUUUAUUGGGCGUAAAGCGAGCGCAGGCGGUUUGAUAAGUCUGAAGUUAAAGGCUGUGGCUCAACCAUAGUUCGCUUUGGAAACUGUCAAACUUGAGUGCAGAAGGGGAGAGUGGAAUUCCAUGUGUAGCGGUGAAAUGCGUAGAUAUAUGGAGGAACACCGGUGGCGAAAGCGGCUCUCUGGUCUGUAACUGACGCUGAGGCUCGAAAGCGUGGGGAGCGAACAGGAUUAGAUACCCUGGUAGUCCACGCCGUAAACGAUGAGUGCUAGGUGUUGGAUCCUUUCCGGGAUUCAGUGCCGCAGCUAACGCAUUAAGCACUCCGCCUGGGGAGUACGACCGCAAGGUUGAAACUCAAAGGAAUUGACGGGGGCCCGCACAAGCGGUGGAGCAUGUGGUUUAAUUCGAAGCAACGCGAAGAACCUUACCAGGUCUUGACAUCCCGAUGCUAUUUCUAGAGAUAGAAAGUUACUUCGGUACAUCGGUGACAGGUGGUGCAUGGUUGUCGUCAGCUCGUGUCGUGAGAUGUUGGGUUAAGUCCCGCAACGAGCGCAACCCCUAUUGUUAGUUGCCAUCAUUCAGUUGGGCACUCUAGCGAGACUGCCGGUAAUAAACCGGAGGAAGGUGGGGAUGACGUCAAAUCAUCAUGCCCCUUAUGACCUGGGCUACACACGUGCUACAAUGGUUGGUACAACGAGUUGCGAGUCGGUGACGGCAAGCUAAUCUCUUAAAGCCAAUCUCAGUUCGGAUUGUAGGCUGCAACUCGCCUACAUGAAGUCGGAAUCGCUAGUAAUCGCGGAUCAGCACGCCGCGGUGAAUACGUUCCCGGGCCU
This 1369-nucleotide ribosomal RNA is filed under the name uncultured bacterium. RNAcentral describes it as "bacterial SSU rRNA". It matches the Rfam family "Bacterial small subunit ribosomal RNA", at positions 28 to 1381 of the family's 1533-position model. The record is from RNAcentral.